This 253-nucleotide ribosomal RNA is filed under the name uncultured bacterium. RNAcentral's name for it is "partial 16S ribosomal RNA". It matches the Rfam family "Bacterial small subunit ribosomal RNA", at positions 524 to 776 of the family's 1533-position model. The record is from RNAcentral.
UACAGAGGGGGCAAGCGUUGUUCGGAAUUACUGGGCGUAAAGGGCGCGUAGGCGGCCUUCUAAGUCGAACGUGAAAUCCCCGGGCUCAACCUGGGAACUGCGUCCGAUACUGGAAGGCUUGAAUCCGGGAGAGGGAUGCGGAAUUCCAGGUGUAGCGGUGAAAUGCGUAGAUAUGUGGAAGAACACCUGUGGCGAAAGCGGUUUUCUAGCUUAUACCUGACGCUGAGGCGCGAGAGCAAGGGGAGCAAACAGG